Brassica napus (rape) is the source of this 125-nucleotide non-coding RNA. Lineage: Eukaryota; Viridiplantae; Streptophyta; Magnoliopsida; Brassicales; Brassicaceae. The record is from Rfam.
AGCAUAUAAAAACUCGUUUCUUAACUUUUAACUAAAAAGGCUAAGAACCGGUUCUUAAAUAAGAGUUUUAAAAGCCGGUUUUUAACUUUUUUAGUUAAAAGUUAAGAGACGGGUUCUUAUAUUCU